RNAcentral lists this microRNA precursor (61 nucleotides) under Canis lupus familiaris (dog). RNAcentral describes it as "Cfa-Mir-17-P4c_pre stem-loop". It matches the Rfam family "mir-17 microRNA precursor family", at positions 11 to 80 of the family's 80-position model. Rfam says of the family: This family represents the microRNA (miRNA) precursor mir-17, family, which includes mir-20, mir-91, and mir-103. miRNAs are transcribed as ~70nt precursors (modelled here) and subsequently processed by the Dicer enzyme to give a ~22nt product. In this case the mature sequence comes from the 3' arm of the precursor. The extents of the hairpin precursors are not generally known and are estimated based on hairpin prediction. The record is from RNAcentral. Lineage: Eukaryota; Metazoa; Chordata; Mammalia; Carnivora; Canidae.
CAAAGUGCUCACAGUGCAGGUAGUCUGGGCUUUUCUCUACUGUAGUGUGGGCACUUCCGGU